AUGGCGAUGCCCACUGCUCUCAAGGCCUUAACUUUCUUGUUUGUGCUUGCAGUUCUUGCACCAGAUCAGUCAGAAGGGCAGCAUCAUCAGCCUUAUUGUCCUUCUUUCUCGUGCGGCCCUUUCAGAAACAUAUCGUCUCCAUUUCGUCAGGCAAGUGAUCCACCUGGGUGCGGCUAUCCAUCUUAUGAGCUGGUGUGCAGUGAUACGAAGGCUACAAUUCACAUCGACAACGUGACAUACCAUGUCUCUGCCAUCAACGACAGUGGUUCUUACUUCUGGGUAGUCGAUGCCGACAUGGAUUUGUACAGCAGCUGCCCUCUACCUCGGUGGAAUCGGCCUCCCUAUUCCGUCGAGGUAGUCAAUGACGACAUGGAAGUCGAAUUGGACCCCCUUUCACGUAGACAGACUUGCUUUCUUAAAUGCUCUCGGGAAGUAAAGGACAAUGGUAUGUACAUGCCUGUUGCUUGCCUUAGCAGCAAUGAUACUUAUGUUUACGUGUUAACUGGUUAUGGAUCUUGUUCUAUGGAGUAUCUCGAGCCUUCUUGUGGGUACUUGGCCAUGACUCCUUGGCCUUGUCACAGUCCAUUUUGUUGGGACUGCGAGCCGCUAGAAAAUGCAAGUUAUGUAGAUGUUGUGAAAUCCAUGAGGAUCGGAUUUGCCGUUCAAUUCCCUUUCAGAUAUCCUUUUCAGGUGAGGAGCAUAAACAUCAAAGAAUGCCUAAUACUCCAGUUUCGUGAAUUCUCGCAAGUGUGUAGUGAAGGCGUCAUGAAUUGUGUUCUGGCAAUUUUGUUCGAUGGACCCUUCUGGUACUGCUUAGUGUAUGCAACUGGAUUUGGUGAUUCUACCUCAUCAAGCAUACAAUCCGUCUUCUCGUUUGUCAACUGCAUUGCUGUGCUAUGCAGGUUUGUGUUGGCACCACUGGCUGUGUUGAUCUUCCUCGCCCACAUGUAUUGGAAAACGAGGAUCACGAUCGAUGCUGUCGAGAAGUUCCUCCGAAUGCAACAAAUGCUAGGUCCAAUGAGGUAUGCCUACACCGACAUCACAGCAAUUACAAGUCAUUUCAGAGAUAAGCUGGGCCAGGGAGGCUACGGCUCUGUGUUCAAGGGUGUGUUAUUGCCAGGCAAUGUUCAUGUCGCUGUCAAGAUGCUAGAGGGCAAUCCUAACUGCAAUGGAGAAGAUUUCAUCAAUGAAGUCUCCACCAUCGGUAGGAUCCAUCAUGUUAAUGUGGUGCGCCUCAUGGGAUUCUGCUCAGAGGAAAUGAGGAGAGCACUAGUUUAUGAGUACAUGCCUCAAGGUUCUCUGGACAAGUACAUCUUCUCAGCCAAGAAGAGUUUCUCCUGGGACAAGCUAGCCGAUAUAGCUUUGGGCAUUGCAAGGGGGAUCGACUACCUUCAUCAGGGUUGUGACAUGCAGAUUCUGCACUUUGACAUCAAGCCACACAACAUCCUUCUUGACAACAAUUUUGUCCCCAAAGUUGCUGAUUUUGGUCUCGCCAAACUAUACCCAAGGGAUAACAGCUUUGUGCCAUCGAGAGCCCUAAGGGGAACAAUUGGGUACAUAGCUCCUGAGAUGAUAUCUCGGAGCUUCGGCGUCAUAUCGAGCAAGUCGGAUGUUUAUAGCUUUGGGAUGCUGCUGCUAGAGAUGGCCGGAGGAAGAAGGAAUGCUGAUCCAAAUGCGGCGAACUCGAGCCAAGCAUACUACCCGUCAUGGGUGUAUGACAGACUAACUGCACAAGAGGCGGAUGCGAUAUCUCUGGUUGCUGACAUGCAUGAGUUGGAGAGAAAGCUGUGCAUCGUUGGACUAUGGUGCAUCCAGAUGAAGUCGCAUGAUAGGCCGACGAUGAGCGAGGUCAUAGAGAUGCUGGAAGGUGGCUUCGAUGGUCUGCAGAUGCCUUCCAGGCCAUUCUUCUGUGAUGAUGAGCACACUGCUGUCCCGGAUUCUUACCCUUUGUUAUCCGAGCUGACCGAGAUCUCGGAGGAGGAUGAGAUCUCAGAUUCUUAUGUUUCUCAGGUAUUGUGA
This 2019-nucleotide ribosomal RNA is filed under the name Triticum aestivum (bread wheat). RNAcentral describes it as "partial small subunit ribosomal RNA". The record is from RNAcentral. Lineage: Eukaryota; Viridiplantae; Streptophyta; Magnoliopsida; Poales; Poaceae.